RNAcentral lists this RNase P RNA (436 nucleotides) under Verrucomicrobiaceae bacterium. RNAcentral describes it as "RNase P RNA component class A". It matches the Rfam family "Bacterial RNase P class A". Rfam says of the family: Ribonuclease P (RNase P) is a ubiquitous endoribonuclease, found in archaea, bacteria and eukarya as well as chloroplasts and mitochondria. Its best characterised activity is the generation of mature 5'-ends of tRNAs by cleaving the 5'-leader elements of precursor-tRNAs. Cellular RNase Ps are ribonucleoproteins. The record is from RNAcentral. Lineage: Bacteria; Pseudomonadati; Verrucomicrobiota; Verrucomicrobiia; Verrucomicrobiales; Verrucomicrobiaceae.
UGGGUCGGCCGGAGUGGUCGCUCGUCGGUAAUGCGGACGAGAGGAAAGUCCGGACAUCUCAGAGCAGCAUGCCACGCGCAAGCGGCGGGGGCCUAUGGCGCGAGCCUGGGCAACGGAAAGUGCCACAGAAAAGAUACCGCCCAUCUGACCUCGAAAGAGGAAGGAAGGGUAAGGGUGAAAUGGUGAGGUAAGAGCUCACCGCUCCGACUGCAAGGAAGGAGGCAGGGCAAACCCCAUGCGAUGCAAGACAUAACAGGAGGAACGGCCCGCUCUGGUCGCAAGUCCCGCUUCGGCGGGAUGGAUAUCUCCGGGUACUAGUCGCACCCCGUUUCGGCGGGGGCGGUGGUCGCGAGAUCGCCGCAGAUAAAUGACCACAGCGCAGGUGUCGCAAGACAUCGGCGACACAAAAUCCGGCUUAUGAAGGCCGACCCAACUU